This 236-nucleotide ribosomal RNA is filed under the name Mesorhizobium sp. Its description in RNAcentral is "partial 16S ribosomal RNA". It matches the Rfam family "Bacterial small subunit ribosomal RNA", at positions 1177 to 1412 of the family's 1533-position model. Lineage: Bacteria; Pseudomonadati; Pseudomonadota; Alphaproteobacteria; Hyphomicrobiales; Phyllobacteriaceae. The record is from RNAcentral.
GGAUGACGUCAAGUCAUCAUGGCCCUUACGGCCUGGGCUACACACGUGCUACAAUGGUCGGUACAAAGGGUUGCCAAGCCGCGAGGUGGAGCUAAUCCCAUAAAACCGAUCGUAGUCCGGAUCGCAGUCUGCAACUCGACUGCGUGAAGUCGGAAUCGCUAGUAAUCGCGAAUCAGAAUGUCGCGGUGAAUACGUUCCCGGGCCUUGUACACACCGCCCGUCACACCAUGGGAGUG